CUAUCACUUCCAUAGAAAUGUCAAUGCAUUGAUUAAAGGAAAACUUUAAGCACCAUAACUAUUACAGCCCACCCCGCUCUAGUGGUUUUCAUGCCAGGUGUGCCCUGGCAUGUUCCCAGGGUUCGUAGUCAAAUCACUUGUGAAGCUAGAAGCCCCUGCAAGAAGUAUCCGUUAGCCCUAUUGUGCUAAGCCCUGCCAUGCACAGUUGGCUCAUUGGUUUAGUGCUUCAG
This is a non-coding RNA of Pelobates cultripes (western spadefoot toad), 230 nucleotides long. Lineage: Eukaryota; Metazoa; Chordata; Amphibia; Anura; Pelobatidae. The record is from the annotation of a GenBank genome assembly.